UAGGGAAUAUUGCACAAUGGGGGAAACCCUGAUGCAGCAACGCCGCGUGAGUGAAGAAGGCCCUUGGGUUGUAAAGCUCUUUAGCGUGGGAAGAAGGUUGGUACGGUGAAUAAUCGGAUCAGCUGACGGUACCACGAGAAUAAGCACCGGCUAAUUUCGUGCCAGCAGCCGCGGUAAUACGAAAGGUGCAAGCGUUACUCGGAAUCACUGGGCGUAAAGCGCACGUAGGCGGACUUGUAGGUCAAUUGUGAAAUACCUGGGCUCAACCCGGGAACUGCAGUUGAAACCGCAUGUCUUGAAUACCUGAGAGGGUGGGGGAAUACCUGGUGGAGAAGUGAAAUUCGUAGAGAUCAGGUGGAACACCGGAGGCGAAGGCGCCUGCCUGGCAGUGUAUUGACGCUGAGGUGCGAAAGUGCGGGGAGCAAACAGGAUUAGAUACCCUGGUAGUCCGCACCGUAAACGAUGGAUACUAGGCGUUCGGAGAGUUAACCCUCUGAGUGCCUAAAG
This 507-nucleotide ribosomal RNA is filed under the name uncultured Pseudomonadota bacterium. RNAcentral describes it as "bacterial SSU rRNA". It matches the Rfam family "Bacterial small subunit ribosomal RNA", at positions 355 to 852 of the family's 1533-position model. Lineage: Bacteria; Pseudomonadati; Pseudomonadota. The record is from RNAcentral.